UGUGUAUUCUCAAUCCUCUUUGGUGUUAAUAAGUUCAUUUGUGAACUAGGGGACUAUAAAUCAACGAGGGAGGCUGAUGAGAAAGUUACUAAUUUACAGGUGGCUUUUUGUUACCGAAGAAGAUAUUAAGAGCUUACCCUGCUUCCAGGUUGAAUAUAGUGAAUUGGCUUAAGCGGCUACAAUAAGGAGCAAGUGCAGGGAACAACUAUGAAGUGGGAAAUACGAUUGCUAAGAAAGAGUUAACACAAUGAAUAUUUUACUCGCAUGAAGAUUGUGAAAGAGAUUCAUGAACGCAAUGGAGUUUUCAGUUUUUGUUCAAACAUUUUUUUAAAUAUUUGUUUUGUAUGUUCGAUAUUUAGACUUAGGUUGACACUUAUUAGUUAUUUCUUUGCAAAAAUUUGGAAUCUUUGGAAGAUGAUUGAUU
RNAcentral lists this long non-coding RNA (424 nucleotides) under Helianthus annuus (common sunflower). Lineage: Eukaryota; Viridiplantae; Streptophyta; Magnoliopsida; Asterales; Asteraceae. The record is from RNAcentral.